Phalacrocorax carbo (great cormorant) is the source of this 2521-nucleotide non-coding RNA. Lineage: Eukaryota; Metazoa; Chordata; Aves; Suliformes; Phalacrocoracidae. The record is from RefSeq and is a predicted model, not a curated record.
GGGCACAGCUAAGAGAGCAGAUUCAGACUGACCAAAGGGAUAUUCCAUAUCAUGUAACGUCAUGCCCAGUAUGUUACCUGGGGGGAGCUGGCUGGGGGAGGAGGGAAGCAAUCGCGGCACAGGGACAGACAGCGUCAGUCAGGGGGUGGACAGGAUGACACAGAAAUUCAGCAUUGUCUUUCUCAUCAACGAUGCGUGGAGAUGGUGAUUCCUGGGAGAUCAAAACAAAGCUCAUUCUCUGUGGAGCAUGUUGAAGUCUGAAGUCCAUUUCUCUGAAUCCCAGGGUACCAGGAUAGAGCCCUGUUGUACCCACUUCAUUUGAAGAUUAUUGGUAUUUUAUUUCCAUCCCUACUUUGAGUUUAACAUCGCAGAGCAUAUGGAUGGACAUCAGAGAGGAAGGUUUCCUGUUCCCCUUUUCCAAUUGCUUUCCUGGUCAGGUAGAAGUGCCUGCAAAGAAUAGAAUAUUAUGCUUUCACUGGAAGUAAAGAAGUAUUUUCAGGGUAGUACAGAGAGACACAGCAGGAAUUUAUAACAGUUUCACUACUGAGGAGAUCAGUGAGAAAAUACACAGACAAGUGCCUUCCUGCAAAAAACCUUGAUUGUACUGUGCAAAGUAUAUUGAAAACCACAAAGCCUAUAAAAGUUGUUUUAGAGCAACACUGGAAGAAAACAUUCAGCAUGACAGAACACAGUAAGCAGAGGAGAGACUGUUAACAAACUCUUUAAUCAUCAUAUUGUUUUAUUACAUGUGUCUGAAUUUUCUCAUUGCCCUAAUUUGUGUUCGAAUAAAACCUGGAAUUAGGAGGUCAAAGGUUUUUCUGAUGUUUUUGUAGUGCAUGUUUAUUACUUUAUAGUUCAGAUUGUAGGUUGCCUUUUGAAGCAAAUCCUCCAAUAUUUCCCUUGUUAUAUUUGGUCAACUUUACAAAACAGUCUUAGAGAACAUAAAGAGGACUUCUUUUGGAUGAAAUCUAAGCAAAAGAUGCUCUCUUGGAGUGCUCUUAAUGUGCUGUAUUGCUAAUGGCCACUUAGUACGUAGCAUUCAGCUAGAAUUAUUAUAUUACAAAAAAAAGUGUUUAAUGAGUACACUGGGUCAUCAGAAUCAAUUAUUUCUCCUUACACAUCCACCUUUAUUGGGACAUACAUUGUCUAAGAAUGCUUACUCUAAGAAAGGAUAUGCAAGGAGAUCCACCUCAUAAAGCUGGCCAAGUUAAGAUCCCAUCUUAUGCCAGACCUCUUACUCAGAAAAUCAGGAUCAAACAGAAAGGAGAAGAGAAUGUCUGCCAAAACCUCAGCUCUUUCUGUUCAAAGUCCUAUGUCUCAGCUGAAAUCCACCUCCAAACACAUUUUCAGAUAAGGUGCUACGUUUGUCCCUAAAGUGCUAAAAGUUUGGUUAUGUAUUUUAUGAUGUUAUACUCUCUGGUAAUAGAAUGGGUAAGUAAUUACAGUAUUGACAUACUGCAGUGAGUUUAACCAAAGCAUCAAAGAAUUGAAUCUGGAUAUCAGGACCAUUCUGUAAAAUAAUUACACCCACUGUGAUCUCAUGAAUGAAUCUUUAUGGUUAGGUCAAUAUUGCUAAAUAGAAAAAAGCAGGGAAUGAUUUUUGGUGCAGUUUCCAGUGUCUCUGGAUGCUGAGAGAUAGCCCCUUCUGUGCUGGAUUGCUUUGGACAGAUCUAGCUGGAGUUCUUUGAAAGAGAGGCAUGGGAUGAAUUAACCAUUAACCAGAAUGAUUGAUUGGAACUAUAUACCUAUACUCAUUGUUCAUGUUCAAGAUCAUCAAGGUUUCUCUUCUACUUUGCACCAUAGACAUACUGUAUAUCAGUGAAGGUCCUGAGCUAAUGAUACAAAAGAUCAUCUAAUCCAAAUUGUUUCAAUUUCUUUUGUUAGAUGAAUAUGUAAGCAUUCUUCCAGUGAAGAAUUAAAGAUUGGUAAGAGUGCAGCGAGGGCUGUAUGACUCAAGAAGUUCAACAAAGGGAAACGCAACAUCCUGCACCUGAAGAAAAACAAUCCCAUGCAGUAGAACUAAUUGGGGUUGACUGACUGGGAAAUAGGUCUGUAGAGAGGGACAUUUGGGUCCUGGUAGGCAACAAACUGAUGGUAAGCCAGCCACGUGCCCUUGUGUCAAAGCAGCUAAUGGUAUCCUGGGCUGCAUUAGGCAAGAACAUUGCCAGCUGGUAAAGGGAGGUGAUCCUUCCACUUUACUCAGCACUGUUGAGGCUGCACCUGGGUCCAGUUCUGGGCUCCUCAGUACAAGAGAUACAUGGGCAUAUUGGGAAGAGUCCAGCAAAGGGGCACCAAAGAUGACGAAAGGACUGGAACAUCUCUACUAUGAGGAAAGGCUGAGAGAGCUGGGACUGCUUAGUCAGGAAAAGAGAAAGGUCAGGAGGAUCAGGCUGGAGACCUGGGCCAAGAGAACCUCCUGAAAUUCAACAAGAGCAAGUGCAAGGUCCUGCACCUGGGGAAGAACAACCUCAUGCACCCGUACAGGCUGGGGGCUGGACUACUGGAAAGAGGCUCUAUUGAG